This 468-nucleotide ribosomal RNA is filed under the name uncultured bacterium. RNAcentral's name for it is "partial 16S ribosomal RNA". It matches the Rfam family "Bacterial small subunit ribosomal RNA", at positions 28 to 507 of the family's 1533-position model. The record is from RNAcentral.
GACGAACGCUGGCGGCGUGCUUAACACAUGCAAGUCGAACGGUGAUGCUCCAGCUUGCUGGAGUGGAUCAGUGGCGAACGGGUGAGUAACACGUGAGCAACCUGCCCCAGACUCUGGAAUAAGCGCUGGAAACGGCGUCUAAUACUGGAUACGAAACUGGCCCGCAUGGGCCUGGUUUGUAAAGUUUUUCGGUUUGGGAGGGGCUCGCGGCCUAUCAGCUUGUUGGUGAGGUAAUGGCUCACCAAGGCGACGACGGGUAGCCGGCCUGAGAGGGCGACCGGCCACACUGGGACUGAGACACGGCCCAGACUCCUACGGGAGGCAGCAGUGGGGAAUAUUGCACAAUGGGCGAAAGCCUGAUGCAGCGACGCCGCGUGAGGGAUGACGGCCUUCGGGUUGUAAACCUCUUUCAGCAGGGAAGAAGCGAAAGUGACGGUACCUGCAGAAGAAGCACCGGCUAACUACGUG